UCAGUCCGACAUAAACUAAAAAAAUGAAGUUGACUGACAUGUAGUUUUUGAACCUGUGGAAGGCACGCUAGAUGCCAAAAUAUCGUUCA
Long non-coding RNA from Octopus sinensis (East Asian common octopus), 89 nucleotides. RefSeq lists it as uncharacterized. The record is from RefSeq and is a predicted model, not a curated record. The transcript is spliced from 3 exons. Lineage: Eukaryota; Metazoa; Mollusca; Cephalopoda; Octopoda; Octopodidae.